UUAUAAACUAAUGCAUACAUAACAUACCUUCCUUAAGCCUAACCAUCAAACCUCAAAAUGAAGACAUCAAAAUCAAGCAAAUUCCCAACACUUUUGCUUAUACUCCUACUCUUUUCAGCUUGUGCAACCACAACUAUGGUCUUUGGUGUUGCUCAUGGUAUCAGAAUCCCGGAGCACGUGUGCAAAAAGACGAUUAGCAUGAGGAAAUGUGAGGUGAGAGGAUGCGAAGAUAAGUGUAGUAAAAAAGAGCCAUUUGGUGUUGGAAAAUGUAGUGGUAAUAUGUGUAUAUGUUCGUAUUAUUGUGAGUUGCCCCCAAUGUGAUCAUGAUUAUGAUUCUUGACGUAUGUAAGCCUCCCCAUUCUAGAAAUAAGGUCUUUGAUCUAUGUUGAGAGCCCAAAAUCUUCUUCU
Molecule: long non-coding RNA, 408 nt
Organism: Lactuca sativa (garden lettuce)
Lineage: Eukaryota; Viridiplantae; Streptophyta; Magnoliopsida; Asterales; Asteraceae
Source: RefSeq, a predicted model, not a curated record